CUGAAUACUACCUCUCUUGGAGGCCACAGGAGCUCUUGGCACCUUCAUUCCCUCAGCUGUGAGAACAGAAGGUGUCAAUUACUGUGGAGGAAUACACAUUUGUUUGGGCUGGCUUCAGUUGUAUGUGAUAAGAGAGAGCAUGCUGACUAUAAUAUCAUAAUGUUUACUGAGUGUGGAUGAGAGGGAAGAGGAAACUGGGUGUGAUCGAUCUCCCAGAACUCUCCUGAAGUUUCAGAUGUUGAUUAUCUGUAGAGUCAACCAUGACAGCAGUAGCAUCUGCCAAGAAGACAAAGGCG
This is a long non-coding RNA of Peromyscus eremicus (cactus mouse), 296 nucleotides long. RefSeq lists it as uncharacterized. The transcript is spliced from 3 exons. NCBI's taxonomy places the organism in Eukaryota, Metazoa, Chordata, Mammalia, Rodentia, Cricetidae. The record is from RefSeq and is a predicted model, not a curated record.